GCGCGAUUAGCUCAGUGGUAGAGCACCUGCUUCACACGCAGGGGGUCGCUGGUUCGAACCCAGCAUCGCGCACCA
This 75-nucleotide transfer RNA is filed under the name Verrucomicrobiales bacterium. Its description in RNAcentral is "tRNA-Val". It matches the Rfam family "tRNA". From Rfam's summary of the family: Transfer RNA (tRNA) molecules are approximately 80 nucleotides in length. RNAcentral also lists the same sequence under 2 other names. The record is from RNAcentral. Lineage: Bacteria; Pseudomonadati; Verrucomicrobiota; Verrucomicrobiia; Verrucomicrobiales.